Molecule: ribosomal RNA, 3071 nt
Filed under: Campylobacter coli
Lineage: Bacteria; Pseudomonadati; Campylobacterota; Epsilonproteobacteria; Campylobacterales; Campylobacteraceae
Also listed under: 1 other name
Description: 23S ribosomal RNA
Rfam family: Bacterial large subunit ribosomal RNA
Source: RNAcentral
AAAAAAGGUAAGCUACUAAGAGCGAAUGGUGGAUGCCUUGACUGGUAAAGGCGAUGAAGGACGUACUAGACUGCGAUAAGCUACGGGGAGCUGUCAAGAAGCUUUGAUCCGUAGAUUUCCGAAUGGGGCAACCCAAUGUAUAGAGAUAUACAUUACCUAUAUAGGAGCGAACGAGGGGAAUUGAAACAUCUUAGUACCCUCAGGAAAAGAAAUCAAUAGAGAUUGCGUCAGUAGCGGCGAGCGAAAGCGCAAGAGGGCAAACCCAGUGCUUGCACUGGGGGUUGUAGGACUGCAAUGUGCAAGAGGUAAGUUUAGCAGAACAUUCUGGAAAGUAUAACCAUAGAGGGUGAUAGUCCCGUAUGCGAAAAACAAACCUUAGCUAGCAGUAUCCUGAGUAGGGCGGGACACGAGGAAUCCUGUCUGAAUCCGGGUCGACCACGAUCCAACCCUAAAUACUAAUACCAGAUCGAUAGUGCACAAGUACCGUGAGGGAAAGGUGAAAAGAACUGAGGUGAUCAGAGUGAAAUAGAACCUGAAACCAUUUGCUUACAAUCAUUCAGAGCCCUAUGUAGCAAUACAGGGUGAUGGACUGCCUUUUGCAUAAUGAGCCUGCGAGUUGUGGUGUCUGGCAAGGUUAAGCAAACGCGAAGCCGUAGCGAAAGCGAGUCUGAAUAGGGCGCUUAGUCAGAUGCUGCAGACCCGAAACGAAGUGAUCUAUCCAUGAGCAAGUUGAAGCUAGUGUAAGAACUAGUGGAGGACUGAACCCAUAGGCGUUGAAAAGCCCCGGGAUGACUUGUGGAUAGGGGUGAAAGGCCAAUCAAACUUCGUGAUAGCUGGUUCUCUCCGAAAUAUAUUUAGGUAUAGCGUUGUGUCGUAAUAUAAGGGGGUAGAGCACUGAAUGGGCUAGGGCAUACACCAAUGUACCAAACCCUAUCAAACUCCGAAUACCUUAUAUGUAAUCACAGCAGUCAGGCGGCGAGUGAUAAAAUCCGUCGUCAAGAGGGAAACAACCCAGACUACCAGCUAAGGUCCCUAAAUCUUACUUAAGUGGAAAACGAUGUGAAGUUACUUAAACAACCAGGAGGUUGGCUUAGAAGCAGCCAUCCUUUAAAGAAAGCGUAAUAGCUCACUGGUCUAGUGAUUUUGCGCGGAAAAUAUAACGGGGCUAAAGUAAGUACCGAAGCUGUAGACUUGCACACAACUUAGAUUAUUUAAGUUUAGAAUAUGAGAAACUAAGUUAUAUGUUUAGUUAUAUUUUUACUGAUUUUUAUAGAGUAAAGAUAGAAAUAAAACUUAGUAAAAUCAGUAAAAAUAUUCUUAGACUAAAGUUAAGUAGUUUAAGUUGUGUGCAAGUGGUAGGAGAGCGUUCUAUUUGCGUCGAAGGUAUACCGGUAAGGAGUGCUGGAGCGAAUAGAAGUGAGCAUGCAGGCAUGAGUAGCGAUAAUUAAUGUGAGAAUCAUUAACGCCGUAAACCCAAGGUUUCCUACGCGAUGCUCGUCAUCGUAGGGUUAGUCGGGUCCUAAGUCGAGUCCGAAAGGGGUAGACGAUGGCAAAUUGGUUAAUAUUCCAAUACCAACAUUAGUGUGCGAUGGAAGGACGCUUAGGGCUAAGGGGGCUAGCGGAUGGAAGUGCUAGUCUAAGGUCGUAGGAGGUUAUACAGGCAAAUCCGUAUAACAAUACUCCGAGAACUGAAAGGCUUUUUGAAGUCUUCGGAUGGAUAGAAGAACCCCUGAUGCCGUCGAGCCAAGAAAAGUUUCUAAGUUUAGCUAAUGUUGCCCGUACCGUAAACCGACACAGGUGGGUGGGAUGAGUAUUCUAAGGCGCGUGGAAGAACUCUCUUUAAGGAACUCUGCAAAAUAGCACCGUAUCUUCGGUAUAAGGUGUGGUUCGCUUCGUAUUAGGAUUUACUCCGAAAGCGAAGAAACUUACAACAAAGAGUCCCUCCCGACUGUUUACCAAAAACACAGCACUCUGCUAACUCGUAAGAGGAUGUAUAGGGUGUGACGCCUGCCCGGUGCUCGAAGGUUAAUUGAUGGGGUUAGCAUUAGCGAAGCUCUUGAUCGAAGCCCGAGUAAACGGCGGCCGUAACUAUAACGGUCCUAAGGUAGCGAAAUUCCUUGUCGGUUAAAUACCGACCUGCAUGAAUGGCGUAACGAGAUGGGAGCUGUCUCAAAGAGGGAUCCAGUGAAAUUGUAGUGGAGGUGAAAAUUCCUCCUACCCGCGGCAAGACGGAAAGACCCCGUGGACCUUUACUACAGCUUGACACUGCUACUUGGAUAAGAAUGUGCAGGAUAGGUGGGAGGCUUUGAGUAUAUGACGCCAGUUGUAUAUGAGCCAUUGUUGAGAUACCACUCUUUCUUAUUUGGGUAGCUAACCAGCUUGAGUUAUCCUCAAGUGGGACAAUGUCUGGUGGGUAGUUUGACUGGGGCGGUCGCCUCCCAAAUAAUAACGGAGGCUUACAAAGGUUGGCUCAGAACGGUUGGAAAUCGUUCGUAGAGUAUAAAGGUAUAAGCCAGCUUAACUGCAAGACAUACAAGUCAAGCAGAGACGAAAGUCGGUCUUAGUGAUCCGGUGGUUCUGUGUGGAAGGGCCAUCGCUCAAAGGAUAAAAGGUACCCCGGGGAUAACAGGCUGAUCUCCCCCAAGAGCUCACAUCGACGGGGAGGUUUGGCACCUCGAUGUCGGCUCAUCGCAUCCUGGGGCUGGAGCAGGUCCCAAGGGUAUGGCUGUUCGCCAUUUAAAGCGGUACGCGAGCUGGGUUCAGAACGUCGUGAGACAGUUCGGUCCCUAUCUGCCGUGGGCGUAAGAAGAUUGAAGAGAUUUGACCCUAGUACGAGAGGACCGGGUUGAACAAACCACUGGUGUAGCUGUUGUUCUGCCAAGAGCAUCGCAGCGUAGCUAAGUUUGGAAAGGAUAAACGCUGAAAGCAUCUAAGCGUGAAGCCAACUCUAAGAUGAAUCUUCUCUAAGCUCUCUAGAAGACUACUAGUUUGAUAGGCUGGGUGUGUAAUGGAUGAAAGUCCUUUAGCUGACCAGUACUAAUAGAGCGUUUGGCUUAUCUUUAAUAAAGCAU